ACGACAUAGACUUGCACAUGUGUUGAUCGUCCAAAUGUCAUCUACUUGUCACACACGUCAGCCAUUUAUGCAUGACUCGUUGAAAGUUCAACCGCAAUCCCUGGUGCUCGCGUAUCUUCCAGAAAGUAUUACACUAUUGACUUCGCGCAUACAGUGUGGUCACACAAGGUUCGGCGACAACGUAGAAAGUUGAUAGAAUCAGCUAUAACAUUCAAGUUAGUUCCGAUGCAUCGAGGCACUUCUUGCGUUGAGGGCAAGUUGUUAGCGGGUAAAAUGUAGUUCCCAAAGAAAAGAAUAAACAAGCACGCGGGUAAAUAUAUUUAUUAGGUUUUGCACAGUAUGUGUGUGGAACAGCGCAGAGAACGGAUGGGGUGUACUUUAAAAAUGGUUUGAGAUUCUCCAGCUAAGCACAAGUGCAAAAUCAUAGGAGUUUGGCUGAAAUAGAAAUGGGCACACCACCUCCGCCAAUCGAACCGACGUCGUAGAUGUGGGUCACGACGUGCGGGUCCCUAUAUAGAGAUACCUAAUAAACAGACCAUUCCUUUACAUCUUAAGUAAACACGUCGUUGCUAGGAACACUACACUACCAUGCAACACCAACGCACUCGAGAGUUUAUAGACAAGUAACAGUACCAUAACCCAUGUGUCGUUGAAAUAAACGAGGAAGCAGAAAUGCUGCAAUAGCGCACGUAUGCGCCUGUAUAAACUUACAUUUACGACUACUGAAUAGGCGGAUAUUGAUUUGGUUUAUUGAUUUUCUUGCUUCAUAACUUUUAUCUUAUUUCCUUUCCCAGAUGAAACAGGCGGCCUACCAUACACUCUGAAGUUCUGGAAUGAACAAGAAAGGUGUGGUAUCCUCCAACUUCAUUAUGAAGGCAAAAAUCACUACGAAAUGCACACAUGGGAUAGUAAAGUUGACCAGACAGCAACAAAUUGCGAAAGGAACUACAAUAAUUUUAUGGGCAAAGGAACAUCAUACGACGUUUAUGCAAGCAGCUGCAAGUCUGCCGCCUAGAGACGCUGAUGUGAAAGUUUCUCACAUGAUCGGCCUCUUGGUGAAAAUUCAAUCUGAAAAGUAUAGUUUGUAGAAUGUAGCAGUAAAUUAGAGUAUUUCUUAAAAAUCAGAAA
Long non-coding RNA from Dermacentor andersoni, 1128 nucleotides. RefSeq lists it as uncharacterized. NCBI's taxonomy places the organism in Eukaryota, Metazoa, Arthropoda, Arachnida, Ixodida, Ixodidae. The record is from RefSeq and is a predicted model, not a curated record.